This 2616-nucleotide unclassified non-coding RNA is filed under the name Hevea brasiliensis (rubber tree). The record is from RNAcentral. Lineage: Eukaryota; Viridiplantae; Streptophyta; Magnoliopsida; Malpighiales; Euphorbiaceae.
AAAAAAAAUUAGUGAAACUGCAAUUAGGAUGACACAUAAAAGGAAAAUAUAUGAACAAACUUUUCUAGACAUAUUUGCAAUCUGAAUCCUCCAGAAGCUCAUUUUCUAGUUCUUUUACAUUCUUAACAAUAUCCUGAACCUUACUUGACAAGUGAUUAGUAUGUUCCUCUAUAUAUGCCAACACCAUGCGUAAUUGUUCCUGAUAAGCAGCACACUGACGUUUACAUCGUUGUUUCUCAUUAUUAAGCUCAAUGGUCAAUUCUCGUAUUCUCUUAUCUUUCUCAUCCUGAAAAAUUACAAAUUUUAGCGGGAGAAUAGCAAAAUAAGACUUAAAGAGAACUGUUAACAAAUGGAGAACUAAAAGUGUUUUAUAUUUUCCUUACCUGAAAGUUAUGUAUAAAAAACCUGGAAUUUAUAAAUCUUUAUCCAUGAUUCAUUAUGUGAUGUAGGGGACUCAUUUACUGAUUAAAGGUAACAUUAAUAAUUUCAGCACAAUUUAUUCUGAUAAAUAAUAAGUAUUAUCCUAUAGUGACCAUGCCAAAAAAAGCCCAUAGCACCAAGCUGAGGGCUAGGCAAUAAAUUGUUGAACCGCCGGAUAUAGUCUACUAGACUAAUCACAACCAAUUUACACUAGGACUGAGUUUAGCACUGAAUUUGCUUUGCUUGUGACAGGAGCAAUUUGGCUAGGGUCCACCUCUAUAGUUUCUCAGCUGGCAACAAAUGGGCAUUAAAACAGCCAACUAACUAUUGAGAAAUAUCAGAAGUACCUCCAUGUACGUAUUGAGAUAGAAAACAUACCUCACCGAUCAAAUUCUUUGCAGACCCUCGCCAUGGUACUUUGCUAGGAGACAUUAAUGUAUGAUUGUGCUCUUUUAUGAAUUUGGAGACGACCCACUUAACUCCAUCCCUUAAAGCUAAUCUCAACAUUGCAGGACAGCCUUCUCGGGUUAUAGGUGGGGGAGGAAGAACUCUAUCUUUCCUGUAUAUGUAUUUCUUUUCGCGAAAACCUUCUUUGGAGCAAACAAAAUCCUGACCAAUAACCAUGUUAUUUACUCGAGAGCGUCGGUUAUGAUGAAUGCGCACUGUAAACCCUGUACGCCUCCCAUAAGCAACAUAAAAUUCUCGAGCAUCAUCUCUUGAGUUGAACUCCAUUCCGAUGUAUGGUUCUCCAAUAUCACUUAUUGAAGGUAAAGUUUCUUUAGAUUGCUCUAUGAUCUUGUCAACUUCACCUAGACAUAAAUCAAUAUUUUUUGAGAGCUCAUCUUCGGUGAAUUCAUGUCCAUACUCCUGAAAACAUCUUUCACUGUCAUCUGAACCAUAUGCUUGAUUAGAUGAGCUCUCCAUCAUUCUCUUGCUGCACAUUAGACAAUGUAUUCAUCCAUCCAAUAUCUGCAUGCAGGAAAGCAAAAUUGGAUUUUCAAUUUUCUAAUUUAUUCUCAUAAAUCACGUUUUUGAGCUGAAAUUAGGAGACAUAAACUGUAUAUAUAUGCAAACAAUAAAAAAUAAAAAGGAAAACAAACCUGCACACGAAAGUUAAAUUAGAACAGAAUUGGGAUAAAAAAGCCGAGGAAGACAAUAAUAAGCCCUUGCAUCUUUACCAAGUGCUGAUUAUUAUAGUAUGUAAAUACUAAACAAAUCAGGAAAGAGAACUGGUUUCAUAAGAAGCAGAUCCAACCUUCAUCCUAUUUUCAAGCGGUGGCGUUAGGCAACAAUGCAAUCAUGACAUUCUAGGAUUUUUAUCAUUGACCUAACUCUUCAAAUACUUACUAAAAUGCAAUGGACUUUGCUUUACAACUACAUUACUCUUUAGACUGGUGCCAACAUUAAUUUGGUUUUUUAAUAAGGAAAAUAUAACUUUCCAAACAAAGUAAAUAGGAUUCUAGUUCUAAAGGUUCUCAUUUAAGUCAAGCUUUUGGUGGAAUUUCACAUCAGGAGUUCUAAAGAUUCUAAAGUUUGCAUGUAGCAGCUAUAAUAUGAAUUGAUAACACUAUAUCAUAGUAAGACAAAUUCGGCUGCAAAGUGAAAUCAAAUUGAAUCACGGACAUCAUUAUCUUUGGCUUGUUAAGAACACAACAGGUACAACAAUAAUCCACUAAUCUUAGACAUAAUUAUCUUUGAGAUAAGCGAAGAGGCUGAGCAUUGAAUACAGUAUUUUUAUAAUACUCCUUCAGAAUCAUUCAAAAAUGCCCAAUUCACAAGUCCCCAUUUACAAGUCACAGUUAAUGUUUAAGCCAGAUAAAAUUGAUGCCCUUUUGCUUCUACUUGUAGUCUAUAUCCUCUACAAUCCCUGCAAUGGUAGAGUAGGAAUUGCCCUGCCAAUACCAAAAUAUCAUGGCACAGUAGAAAAGUGGAAAGUUUUAAGCGCCGUACCUGAGAUGGAUUUUCCAGUAAUUGGCGUGAGAUAUUGCAAUAUGAAAGAAAUGCGUCUAAAUCUAGCUUUAAUUAUCUCAUCUUGAAUUUCACUUUUUCUUUUCAUUUUUUCUGCUUAGCUCUAGUUUUCUACCAAACCAAACAGAAAAUUCUGUGGCAAAUAGCGCUAAAGCUAAAAAGGCAAAAGAAAUUACUAAUAAAAAGAAAUUGGCUUCUAAAAAAUAUAAAGUGUUGAUGAGCGUACCA